This 1091-nucleotide ribosomal RNA is filed under the name Enterococcus faecium. RNAcentral's name for it is "bacterial SSU rRNA". It matches the Rfam family "Bacterial small subunit ribosomal RNA", at positions 32 to 1095 of the family's 1533-position model. The record is from RNAcentral. Lineage: Bacteria; Bacillati; Bacillota; Bacilli; Lactobacillales; Enterococcaceae.
AANGAGGGGGGGGCCUAUACAUGCAAGUCGUACGCUUCUUUUUCCACCGGAGCUUGCUCCACCGGAAAAAAGAAGAGUGGCGAACGGGUGAGUAACACGUGGGUAACCUGCCCAUCAGAAGGGGAUAACACUUGGAAACAGGUGCUAAUACCGUAUAACAAUCGAAACCGCAUGGUUUUGAUUUGAAAGGCGCUUUCGGGUGUCGCUGAUGGAUGGACCCGCGGUGCAUUAGCUAGUUGGUGAGGUAACGGCUCACCAAGGCCACGAUGCAUAGCCGACCUGAGAGGGUGAUCGGCCACAUUGGGACUGAGACACGGCCCAAACUCCUACGGGAGGCAGCAGUAGGGAAUCUUCGGCAAUGGACGAAAGUCUGACCGAGCAACGCCGCGUGAGUGAAGAAGGUUUUCGGAUCGUAAAACUCUGUUGUUAGAGAAGAACAAGGAUGAGAGUAACUGUUCAUCCCUUGACGGUAUCUAACCAGAAAGCCACGGCUAACUACGUGCCAGCAGCCGCGGUAAUACGUAGGUGGCAAGCGUUGUCCGGAUUUAUUGGGCGUAAAGCGAGCGCAGGCGGUUUCUUAAGUCUGAUGUGAAAGCCCCCGGCUCAACCGGGGAGGGUCAUUGGAAACUGGGAGACUUGAGUGCAGAAGAGGAGAGUGGAAUUCCAUGUGUAGCGGUGAAAUGCGUAGAUAUAUGGAGGAACACCAGUGGCGAAGGCGGCUCUCUGGUCUGUAACUGACGCUGAGGCUCGAAAGCGUGGGGAGCAAACAGGAUUAGAUACCCUGGUAGUCCACGCCGUAAACGAUGAGUGCUAAGUGUUGGAGGGUUUCCGCCCUUCAGUGCUGCAGCUAACGCAUUAAGCACUCCGCCUGGGGAGUACGACCGCAAGGUUGAAACUCAAAGGAAUUGACGGGGGCCCGCACAAGCGGUGGAGCAUGUGGUUUAAUUCGAAGCAACGCGAAGAACCUUACCAGGUCUUGACAUCCUUUGACCACUCUAGAAAUAGAGCUUCCCCUUCGGGGGCAAAGUGACAGGUGGUGCAUGGUUGUCGUCAGCUCGUGUCCUGAGAUGUUGGGUUAAGUCCCGCAACGA